GUUUUAUUAAGUUAUGACGCAGAUUUAGUUUGACAGAAUUGAAAGACUUUGUUUUAAUCUUACUGUGUUCAAAUUUACACUUAAGCAUUGAUAUUUGUUCGAAAAUAACGGGUUAAUUCACGUUUAAUCAGGUUUCUACGGAGUUAUAUUUUAAAAAUUUCAAUAUUUCUGAGUACAGUGGUGAAGUUUUGGCCGAGUUUCUGUGUAUAUUGACGUGAAACAUAAAACCUAUUCAAUGCGGUUUACUCUACAGCGUAAAAUGUGGAAGAUCGUAGUUGUCGAAAUUGUAUAUAGCCUACACUUAAAUGUGCGAAAACAGAAAAAUUGGCAGCAGUUUCCUCAACAAAAGAAUGAGAUUUAUAAUUGUUUAAUAAUUAAUUGAAGUAUUUGAAGGAUAAAUUCACCAACGAAGACAUUUUAAUCUAAAUAUCUCAUCCGUGCAGCAGAAUCGAGUAUUACCGAAAAGUCUAAACUGCGAGAAUAAAUUUACAAUAUGAAGCGGAGAAAAGAAAUUUACAGUUUUCUUCCUUCGAUCGAGCUACAGUCACCGGGAUUUCGAGAAAACAACGAUCAAAUCGAUCUCGAGAAGAACGAGACGGGCUUCGACGAAUUUCUCUUAAAUACCUUCGUCAUAUUAUUUUAAUGAACAAAAAUAAUCGAUUCAGAUUUUUUUAAAAAUGUUAUCGGAAGAGGGGAAAAUGCUCACACCAGGAAAACGCUACGAAUCCGAAUCUUUCCCCCCCCCCUUUCUUCCAUAUCUCGACUUUCAUCAUUGGAUGUGGUGAAUAGAUACGAAGAUUAGUUAGCAAAUUAAUUGAUUGUUCGGCCCUUCCACCACCAACGCCAUUCCAAUCGGUUCAUAAAAAUUUUCCACGCGAGGAACAUCUUAAUCAGGUCUGACACCCAAUAGGGUCGACUGGGAGGUUUCGCUCGCGUAGCGUGGUCAUUUCGUUCCUAUCGUUACACCAGAGUCGAUAGAUAUACUGGUUCCUUGAGCUGCCAAUAGCUCUAAUGCUACGGAAGUGGCGUAAUCAAUAUUUCUGCCACUUCGAGCGCCGCGAUCGCUUCGCGGCGUAAGUUUGGCUCGAGCGUAGGGAGAGUCAGCUGUAAACAUUCGAAAUUCUUUUAACAUAUGAAAUUUUCUCGUUUUUAACUCAGAUAUUGUUUUCGUCUUUUCUAAAGGACCGCUUAUAAAUACUGUUUUAAUUCGGGUUUGAACAUUAUUUAUUCGUAAAUGUCGUUAAUACUUCUAUUUCUAUUACAGGGGAUUAAAAGUCAGUAGAUUUAGUUCUCGGAUUUCAAAUAUAGGCCGUUAAAGGAAAAAGGAAAUUCCAACUAUUUAGGCAACAUAUUCAACAUAAUAACUUAGAGGUAAUUAGAGGAUGAUGAGUUGGAGGUUGACAAAUAAAAUAGGUAAAUGUGGGAUGGCAAGAGUUCAGAUGGUAUUAUUAGAUAAUGACAGUGGUAGUGAUGAGGCUAAAAGACAUGUUAGUGAUAUUUUAAACCUAUAUAAACAAAGGACAGGUGUAGUAAUCUUCAUUCAUAUUCUACUUUUGAUAUGAUAUAAAUUACCAAAAUAUGUAGAGUCAAUGAGAGUGUCAUAAGGAAUGUAAGUUCUCGUGUCAAAAAUACAAAACGAUUUCAUCCCAAAUACUAUUUCUCACUAUACCAAAUCAAGUGAAAUUGUAUAUCACACUUUAUGUAGUGUUAAAGUUAAUAAAUUAUUUAAAAAAUAGUUCGUCUUUAUCCGAAUUAAAUUUCUAUUGCUAUUUAAAUGUAUCGGAGGAUAAGCUAUGGUUUUCCUAAUUGUAUUGUUAUACAUAUGUAAUAAAACAAAACAGUAACACGCAAAUUUAUUUACUUAUUAUAUUAUUACCUACGUUAUACUCAGAACGUUCACAGUAUGUAGCAAUAAAAUAGUUUUGGACAGAUCUCUAUUUAAAAUCUGGAUGAAUUAUUAUUCACAUCCUCAUCUGUAAUUUCAAAUUAUCAUCUUAUUUUUUAUAACCAAAUAGAUAAAAAAAUAAAAAAUAAAAUAAAACUUCUCGCCGUAGUGCGACUCGAACGCCAGCUAUCGGCAAUCCGACACAUUAAUAGCUCGAGGACCAGUAUAUUUAUCGACUCCGGUUAUACUAGCAUCCGAGUGCCAACUUCCGGUUCUGCCGACAAAACGAAAAAUUUACACGAAUUAAGACUAGUUCGUACUUCGCCAGAAGGGAAAAGAGAAGCGCGUUCUGUUCGGUUUCCUGUUGUUCUUUUCCGGUAAGUGUUGGCAAUUAGAAGCGACUAAAGAGACGUGCGCACGCAUUUCGAUCUGGCGAUACGACGUAAAAGAAACGCGCAUGCGUUCUCAGUACCUGCAGUUUAAAACAUGGCGCCUCUCGUCUACUAUCGAAAGCGUGCUUUGAAGGAGUAUCCGAGUGCGAAAUUCUUAAAAAAAUGAAACGCAUUUUCGAAAUUUUAGAUACUUUUAGGAAGGCCUGACAUCUGGAUUUUGGACACUACAUCCUUGUUUGGCAAUACUUUGACUCAAAGUUUAGUUUGUUCACCUUGGUGCCCAAGUAAUAAAAUAACAUAAUAGGAAUGUUUGUUAUAUGUCGUUUAUAAUAGCAAUAAGAAAGCCUUUUUUCAUGUCUUCGUGGAUUUGACAAGACUCAAUGGUGCAGCUAGAUAGAGAAGAACGAGUCCUAACAUAUCUGGGUGAAACCAUGUAUGAAGAAUUUCUGAAGCUUCAGUCUAAACUGGAACCGAACACUCGGAGCUGCAAAUUAAUGCAGACUUAAAAGGAAUGAACAUUUUCUAUUUACAUUGACAUAGCUACGUGCCUACUAAAUUAGUGUCUGCUUCUAACCGACACCGGGCAUCUUUGGAUACUUAAACCCUACAUGAUCACAAUAUUUUCUUUUCUGGUAUCAAGGCUACAAAUUAGCAGAUUGCACAUUUGUUGCUUCCUAAAUGACAAUGAUGGAAUGAAAAUGGUUCCAUAUUUGUGCAAAGACUAAUAUGCAAAUUGUGCAUUCUGAUACAUAGGGGGAUACCUUUGGGUGCAGCACCCCUCAGGCCCCAUUAUCUCCUAGGAAAAGAAAA
Molecule: long non-coding RNA, 3087 nt
Filed under: Centruroides sculpturatus (bark scorpion)
Lineage: Eukaryota; Metazoa; Arthropoda; Arachnida; Scorpiones; Buthidae
Description: uncharacterized LOC111619555, transcript variant X10
Source: RNAcentral